GAGUUUGAUCCUGGCUCAGGACGAACGCUGGCGGCGUGCCUAAUACAUGCAAGUCGAGCGCAGGAAGCCGUCUGAACCCUUCGGGGGGACGACGGUGGAAUGAGCGGCGGACGGGUGAGUAACACGUAAAGAACCUGCCCAUAGGUCUGGGAUAACCACGAGAAAUCGGGGCUAAUACCGGAUGUGUCAUCGGACCGCAUGGUCCGCUGAUGAAAGGCGCUUCGGCGUCGCCCAUGGAUGGCUUUGCGGUGCAUUAGCUAGUUGGUGGGGUAACGGCCCACCAAGGCGACGAUGCAUAGCCGACCUGAGAGGGUGAUCGGCCACACUGGGACUGAGACACGGCCCAGACUCCUACGGGAGGCAGCAGUAGGGAAUCUUCCACAAUGGACGAAAGUCUGAUGGAGCAACGCCGCGUGAACGAUGAAGGCUUUCGGGUCGUAAAGUUCUGUUGUAAGGGAAGAACAAGUGCCGCAGGCAAUGGCGGCACCUUGACGGUACCUUGCGAGAAAGCCACGGCUAACUACGUGCCAGCAGCCGCGGUAAUACGUAGGUGGCAAGCGUUGUCCGGAAUUAUUGGGCGUAAAGCGCGCGCAGGCGGCCUCUUAAGUCUGAUGUGAAAGCCCCCGGCUCAAC
Molecule: ribosomal RNA, 633 nt
Filed under: uncultured bacterium
Lineage: Bacteria
Description: bacterial SSU rRNA
Rfam family: Bacterial small subunit ribosomal RNA
Source: RNAcentral